This 425-nucleotide ribosomal RNA is filed under the name uncultured Oscillospiraceae bacterium. RNAcentral's name for it is "bacterial SSU rRNA". It matches the Rfam family "Bacterial small subunit ribosomal RNA", at positions 355 to 794 of the family's 1533-position model. The record is from RNAcentral. Lineage: Bacteria; Bacillati; Bacillota; Clostridia; Eubacteriales; Oscillospiraceae.
UGGGGAAUAUUGGGCAAUGGACGAAAGUCUGACCCAGCGACGCCGCGUGAGGGAUGAAGAUCUUCGGAUUGUAAACCUUUGUCAACAGGGACGAAGCAAGUGACGGUACCUGUGGAGGAAGCAACGGCUAACUACGUGCCAGCAGCCGCGGUAAUACGUAGGUUGCAAGCGUUGUCCGGAUUUACUGGGUGUAAAGGGCGUGUAGGCGGAGAUGCAAGUUGGGAGUGAAAUGCAGGGGCUCAACCCCUGAACUGCUCUCAAAACUGUAUCCCUUGAGUAUCGGAGAGGCAAGCGGAAUUCCUAGUGUAGCGGUGAAAUGCGUAGAUAUUAGGAGGAACACCAGUGGCGAAGGCGGCUUGCUGGACGACAACUGACGCUGAGGCGCGAAAGCGUGGGGAGCAAACAGGAUUAGAUACCCUGGUAGU